CUGCUUUGGCAUCAUACAUACUAAAAUUGGAAUAAUACAGAGAAAAUUAACAUUGCCCUUGUGCAAGAAUAACAUGAAAAUUUGUGAAGUGUUCCAUAUUUUU
This is a small nuclear RNA of Talpa occidentalis (Iberian mole), 103 nucleotides long. NCBI's taxonomy places the organism in Eukaryota, Metazoa, Chordata, Mammalia, Eulipotyphla, Talpidae. The record is from RefSeq and is a predicted model, not a curated record.